This 253-nucleotide ribosomal RNA is filed under the name uncultured bacterium. Its description in RNAcentral is "partial 16S ribosomal RNA". It matches the Rfam family "Bacterial small subunit ribosomal RNA", at positions 524 to 776 of the family's 1533-position model. The record is from RNAcentral.
AACGUAGGAGGCAAGCGUUAUCCGGAGUCACUGGGCGUAAAGGGCGGGUAGGUGGUUGUGUAAGUUGGUUAUGAAAGCUCCUGGCUAAACUGGGAGAGGUUGACCAAGACUGCAGAACUUGAGUGGAGAAGAGGUAAACGGAAUUCCGCGUGUAGUGGUGAAAUGCGUAGAGAUGCGGAAGAACACCAGUGGCGAAGGCGACGUGCUGGGUUGCACCUGACGCUGAGAUGCGAAAGUGUGGGGAGCAAACGGG